RNAcentral lists this unclassified non-coding RNA (337 nucleotides) under soil metagenome. RNAcentral's name for it is "partial contains 5.8S ribosomal RNA, internal transcribed spacer 2, and large subunit ribosomal RNA". The stretch from base 1 to 120 matches the Rfam family "5.8S ribosomal RNA", at positions 35 to 154 of the family's 154-position model. The record is from RNAcentral.
GAUGAAGAACGCAGCGAAAUGCGAUAAGUAGUGUGAAUUGCAGAAUUCAGUGAAUCAUCGAAUCUUUGAACGCACAUUGCGCCCCUUGGUAUUCCAUGGGGCAUGCCUGUUCGAGCGUCAUUUGUACCUUCAAGCUUUGCUUGGUGUUGGGUGUUUGUCUCGCCUUUGCGUGUAGACUCGCCUUAAAAUAAUUGGCAGCCGGCGUAUUGAUUUCGGAGCGCAGUACAUCUCGCGCUUUGCACUCAUAACGACAGCGUCCAAAAGUACAUUUUUACACUCUUGACCUCGGAUCAGGUAGGGAUACCCGCUGAACUUAAGCAUAUCAAUAAGCGGAGGA